This 1387-nucleotide ribosomal RNA is filed under the name uncultured bacterium. RNAcentral describes it as "16S ribosomal RNA". It matches the Rfam family "Bacterial small subunit ribosomal RNA". The record is from RNAcentral.
UUCGCCCUUAGAGUUUGCUCCUGGCUCAGGACGAACGCUGGCGGCGCGCCUAACACAUGCAAGUCGAACGGAGCUUAGAGAGCUUGCUUUCUAAGCUUAGUGGCGAACGGGUGAGUAACGCGUGAGUAACCUGCCCUAGAGUGGGGGACAACAGUUGGAAACGACUGCUAAUACCGCAUAAGCCCACGGUACCGCAUGAUACUGAGGGAAAAGGAUUUAUUCGCUUUAGGAUGGACUCGCGUCCAAUUAGCUAGUUGGUGAGGUAACGGCCCACCAAGGCGACGAUUGGUAGCCGGACUGAGAGGUUGAACGGCCACAUUGGGACUGAGACACGGCCCAGACUCCUACGGGAGGCAGCAGUGGGGGAUAUUGCACAAUGGGGGAAACCCUGAUGCAGCGACGCCGCGUGGAGGAAGAAGGUUUUCGGAUUGUAAACUCCUGUCGUUAGGGACGAUAAUGACGGUACCUAACAAGAAAGCACCGGCUAACUACGUACCAGCAGCCGCGGUAAAACGUAGGGUGCAAGCGUUGUCCGGAAUUACUGGGUGUAAAGGGAGCGCAGGCGGGAAGACAAGUUGGAAGUGAAAACCAUGGGCUCAACCCAUGAAUUGCUUUCAAAACUGUUUUUCUUGAGUAGUGCAGAGGUAGAUGGAAUUCCCGGUGUAGCGGUGGAAUGAGUAGAUAUCGGGAGGAACACCAGUGGCGAAGGCGACUUUCUGGACCGUAACUGACGUUGAGGCACGAAAGUGUGGGGAGCAAACAGGAUUAGAUACCCUGGUAGUCCACACCGUAAACGAUGGAUACUAGGUGUAGGGAACGAUAUGUUUUCUGUGCCGAAAGCAAACGCAAUAAGUAUCCCACCUGGGGAGUACGGCCGCAAGGUUGAAACUCAAAGGAAUUGACGGGGGCCCGCACAAGCAGUGGAGUAUGUGGUUUAAUUCGAAGCAACGCGAAGAACCUUACCAGGGCUUGACAUAUACAGGAAUAUAUAAGAAAUUAUAUAGCUCUUCGGAGUCUGUAUACAGGUGGUGCAUGGUUGUCGUCAGCUCGUGUCGUGAGAUGUUAGGUUAAGUCCUGCAACGAGCGCAACCCCUAUUUUCAGUUGCCAGCACGUCAAGGUGGGAACUCUGGAAAGACUGCCGGUAAUAAAUCGGAGGAAGGUGGGGAUGACGUCAAAUCAUCAUGCCCUUUAUGUCCUGGGCAACACACGUACUACAAUGGCUGUAACAGAGAGAAGCAACACAGAGAUGUGAAGCAAAACUUAAAAAAGCAGUCUCAGUUCGGAUUGAAGGCUGAAAUUCGCCUUCAUGAAGUCGGAAUUGCUAGUAAUGGCAGGUCAGAAUACUGCCGUGAAUACGUUCCCGGGCCUUGUAAUCACCGCCCGUCA